This 269-nucleotide ribosomal RNA is filed under the name Pseudomonas aeruginosa. RNAcentral's name for it is "partial 23S ribosomal RNA". It matches the Rfam family "Bacterial large subunit ribosomal RNA", at positions 2662 to 2925 of the family's 2925-position model. The record is from RNAcentral. Lineage: Bacteria; Pseudomonadati; Pseudomonadota; Gammaproteobacteria; Pseudomonadales; Pseudomonadaceae. RNAcentral also lists the same sequence under 1 other name.
UUGAGGGGGGCUGCUCCUAGUACGAGAGGACCGGAGUGGACGCAUCACUGGUGUUCGGGUUGUCAUGCCAAUGGCACUGCCCGGUAGCUAAAUGCGGAAGAGAUAAGUGCUGAAAGCAUCUAAGCACGAAACUUGCCCCGAGAUGAGUUCUCCCUGAGACUUUAAGUCUCCUGAAGGAACGUUAAAGACGAUGACGUUGAUAGGCCGGGUGUGUAAGCGCAGCGAUGCGUUGAGCUAACCGGUACUAAUGAACCGUGAGGCUUAACCUU